UAACGCGUGGAUAACCUGCCGUAUACCGGGGGAUAACACUUAGAAAUAGGUGCUAAUACCGCAUAAGCGCACGGCUCCGCAUGGGGCAGUGUGAAAAACUCCGGUGGUAUACGAUGGAUCCGCGUCUGAUUAGCUAGUUGGCGGGGUAACGGCCCACCAAGGCAGCGAUCAGUAGCCGGCCUGAGAGGGUGGACGGCCACAUUGGGACUGAGACACGGCCCAAACUCCUACGGGAGGCAGCAGUGGGGAAUAUUGCACAAUGGGGGAAACCCUGAUGCAGCGACGCCGCGUGAGUGAAGAAGUAUCUCGGUACGUAAAGCUCUAUCAGCAGGGAAGAAAAUGACGGUACCUGACUAAGAAGCCCCGGCUAACUACGUGCCAGCAGCCGCGGUAAUACGUAGGGGGCAAGCGUUAUCCGGAUUUACUGGGUGUAAAGGGAGCGUAGACGGCAGCACAAGUCUGGAGUGAAAUCCCGGGGCUUAACCCCGGAACUGCUUUGGAAACUGUGCGGCUGGAGUGCAGGAGGGGUAAGCGGAAUUCCUAGUGUAGCGGUGAAAUGCGUANAUAUUAGGAGGAACACCGGUGGCGAAGGCGGCUUACUGGACUGUAACUGACGUUGAGGCUCGAAAGCGUGGGGAGCAAACAGGAUUAGAUACCCUGGUAGUCCACGCCGUAWACGAUGAUUACUAGGUGU
Molecule: ribosomal RNA, 694 nt
Filed under: uncultured bacterium
Lineage: Bacteria
Description: bacterial SSU rRNA
Rfam family: Bacterial small subunit ribosomal RNA
Source: RNAcentral